CUGCUUCAUCAAUGGCAAUGGGGGAGUUGAAAAUCUCAGAGAUGCGUGACCUAACCCGUAUAGAACGCAUAGGGGCACACUCUCAUAUCAGAGGUCUUGGCCUUGAUUCUUCACUCGAACCUCGAUUAAGCUCUGAAGGUAUGGUAGGUCAAAUUCCAGCUCGAAAAGCUGCCGGAAUCAUUGUUAAAAUGGUUCAACAAGGUAAAAUUGCGGGUCGUGCACUGCUCCUUGCGGGUCAACCCGGAACUGGGAAGACAGCUAUAGCUAUGGGUAUGGCUAAAUCGUUAGGGCAAGAAACCCCUUUUGCUAUGCUUGCUGGUAGCGAACUUUAUUCACUUGAUAUGUCGAAAACUGAAGCGUUAAUGCAGGCUUUUCGUAAAGCAAUUGGUGUGAGAAUUAAAGAAGAAGCUGAAGUUAUUGAAGGUGAAGUUGUGGAAGUACAUAUUGAUAGGCCGGCGGUAGCUGGAGCUGCGUCAAAAACAGGAAAACUGACGUUGAAGACUACUGAUAUGGAGACGGUUUAUGAUUUGGGG
This 533-nucleotide unclassified non-coding RNA is filed under the name Hevea brasiliensis (rubber tree). Lineage: Eukaryota; Viridiplantae; Streptophyta; Magnoliopsida; Malpighiales; Euphorbiaceae. The record is from RNAcentral.